AACGAACGCUGGCGGCAGGCCUAACACAUGCAAGUCGAGCGCCCCGCAAGGGGAGCGGCGGACGGGUGAGUAACGCGUGGGAACGUGCCCCUUUCUACGGAAUAGCCUCGGGAAACUGAGAGUAAUACCGCAUAAGCCCUACGGGGGAAAGAUUUAUCGGGAAGGGAUCGGCCCGCGUUGGAUUAGGUAGUUGGUGGGGUAAUGGCCUACCAAGCCGACGAUCCAUAGCUGGUUUGAGAGGAUGAUCAGCCACACUGGGACUGAGACACGGCCCAGACUCCUACGGGAGGCAGCAGUGGGGAAUUUUAGACAAUGGGCGCAAGCCUGAUCUAGCCAUGCCGCGUGAGCGAUGAAGGCCUUAGGGUUGUAAAGCUCUUUCGUGGGGGAAGAUAAUGACUGUACCCCAAGAAGAAGCCCCGGCUAACUCCGUGCCAGCCGCCGCCGUAA
Molecule: ribosomal RNA, 447 nt
Filed under: uncultured bacterium
Lineage: Bacteria
Description: partial 16S ribosomal RNA
Rfam family: Bacterial small subunit ribosomal RNA
Source: RNAcentral